ACGUAAGUGGCGAGCGUUAUCCGGAAUGACUGUGCGUAAAGCGUUCGUAGGCGGCUUGGUAAGUCGGAUUUGAAAGCCCGGGGCUCAACUCCGGAUCUGGAUCCGAAACUAUCAGGCUGGAGCGGAUCAGAGGGCAGUGGAAUUCCCGGUGUAGGGGUGAUAUGCGUAGAUAUCGGGAGGAACACCAGUGGCGAAGGCGGCUACCUGGAGUGAUACUGACGCUGAAGAACGAAAGCCAGGGGAGCGAACGG
This 251-nucleotide ribosomal RNA is filed under the name uncultured prokaryote. RNAcentral's name for it is "partial 16S rRNA". It matches the Rfam family "Bacterial small subunit ribosomal RNA", at positions 525 to 775 of the family's 1533-position model. The record is from RNAcentral.